This 661-nucleotide long non-coding RNA is filed under the name Erythranthe guttata (spotted monkey flower). RNAcentral's name for it is "long non-coding RNA (EGUT_LNC001180)". Lineage: Eukaryota; Viridiplantae; Streptophyta; Magnoliopsida; Lamiales; Phrymaceae. The record is from RNAcentral.
GUUUGCUUGUUAGUGGUAAUCAAUAUGGAACUCAAAUUAUGGGUUCUAAUAGCGCUCUUGCCUAUGUUGGUUACAACAAUCAAUGCUCAACUUCUGCCAUGCAUAAGACUUCCCAUAUUUGGCACACCAAUAUUUUGCCCAUCUCCUCCACCACCACCUAGGUCUCCGCCACCACCAUCACCACCUCCACCUCCUCCAUCUCCACCACCACCGCCACCUCCUCCAUCUCCACCACCGCCUUCACCUCCACCUCCAUCCCCUCCUCCACCUCCACCAUCACCUCCACCACCUUCCCCUCCCCCGCCUUCACCUCCCCCACCCCCAACCCUUCCUCCUCCACCAACGUCACCACCUCCCCCUCCGCGUUCACUUGUUUGCACGAUAUUACCUCUCCCAUUACUUUGCCCAACCCCACCUGCACCACCUCCACCUCCGCGUACUCCACUUCUUUGCACAGUAUUACCUCGAGCAAUAUUUUGCCCAUCCCCACCACCACCUGUCUGAUUGAUCUCUAUGAUCAACCUCUAUCACACUAAAAAGUACUAUUGUUGCUUUCCAACCCCUCUUUCAACAAUAAUAAUUUUCUUAUGCACGUUAAAUAAUAAAUUUCCUUGGUAAUUAGUAAUCUUUCUUCGAUGGAAAAAUUACUAGCUAAUAAGUG